This is a non-coding RNA of Tulasnella sp. JGI-2019a, 106 nucleotides long. The record is from the annotation of a GenBank genome assembly. NCBI's taxonomy places the organism in Eukaryota, Fungi, Basidiomycota, Agaricomycetes, Cantharellales, Tulasnellaceae.
GCCCCUAUGGUCUAGUGGUACGAUACCCCCUUCGGGAGCAAUUCCGUGUAGACAUCGUGUCGCACAUAAUUGGGGGUGGUCCUGCGUUCGAAUCGCGGUGGGGGCC